UGGGGAAUAUUGGACAAUGGGCGAAAGCCUGAUCCAGCCAUGCCGCGUGUGUGAAGAAGGUCUUCGGAUUGUAAAGCACUUUAAGUUGGGAGGAAGGGCAGUAAGCGAAUACCUUGCUGUUUUGACGUUACCGACAGAAUAAGCACCGGCUAACUCUGUGCCAGCAGCCGCGGUAAUACAGAGGGUGCAAGCGUUAAUCGGAAUUACUGGGCGUAAAGCGCGCGUAGGUGGUUCGUUAAGUUGAAUGUGAAAGCCCCGGGCUCAACCUGGGAACUGCAUCCAAGGCUGGCGGGCUGGAGUAGGGCAGAGGGUGGUGGAAUUUCCUGUGUAGCGGUGAAAUGCGUAGGUAUAGGAAGGAACACCAGUGGCGAAGGCGACCACCUGGGCUCAUACUGACACUGAGGUGCGAAAGCGUGGGGAGCAAACAGG
This 429-nucleotide ribosomal RNA is filed under the name Pseudomonadota bacterium. RNAcentral describes it as "Proteobacteria bacterium partial 16S ribosomal RNA". It matches the Rfam family "Bacterial small subunit ribosomal RNA", at positions 355 to 776 of the family's 1533-position model. The record is from RNAcentral. Lineage: Bacteria; Pseudomonadati; Pseudomonadota.